RNAcentral lists this ribosomal RNA (296 nucleotides) under uncultured bacterium. RNAcentral describes it as "partial 16S ribosomal RNA". It matches the Rfam family "Bacterial small subunit ribosomal RNA", at positions 28 to 334 of the family's 1533-position model. The record is from RNAcentral.
GAUGAACGCUGACAGAAUGCUUAACACAUGCAAGUCUACUUGAUCCUUUGGGUGAUGGUGGCGGACGGGUGAGUAACGCGUGGGUAACCUGCCUUGUACUGGGGGACAACAGUUGGAAACGACUGCUAAUACCGCAUAAGCGCACAGCUUCGCAUGAAGCAGUGUGAAAAACUCCGGUGGUACAAGAUGGACCCGCGUCUGAUUAGCUAGUUGGUGAGGUAACGGCCCACCAAGGCGACGAUCAGUAGCCGGCCUGAGAGGGUGAACGGCCACAUUGGGACUGAGACACGGCCCAA